Diceros bicornis minor is the source of this 1479-nucleotide long non-coding RNA. RefSeq lists it as uncharacterized. The record is from RefSeq and is a predicted model, not a curated record. The transcript is spliced from 3 exons. Lineage: Eukaryota; Metazoa; Chordata; Mammalia; Perissodactyla; Rhinocerotidae.
GCUGGAGAAGUCGCCCUUGGGCCGCGGGCUCCGGCGGAACAGCUCGUCGCGGCUGCCGUCAGCCCCGCCGCCCACCGCCACUCCCAGCGCUUUGUUUCGCGUCUUCACGGUCUUGACGCUGGCCCGGAACAGCAGAGUGAUGUCCACCGCCAUGACGACCCGCACUCACGGGCCCCGACCCGGCCGGCCUACGUCAGCAGCCGGCGACCGCGGCGCGAGCCCGGCCCCCGGCGGACCGUUCCGGCUCCGCACGCCUCCGCACGCCAACCGCGACGCGAGAAGAAAGGUUCCGGCCUCCGCCGGGCUACCGCGGCCAGAGCAGAAAGGUUCCGGCCUCAGCGCACGCGCGUGGCGGACCCCCGCGGCGCCCGGACCUCGCGGCGCGCACAGCCGCGCCCCUUCUCCCCCAACCCCCCACCUCUGCGGGCUUGGCCGCGCGGGCAGGUCCACGAACCCCCCGCCCCCGCGGGCCGGUGUAGGGCGUGUGGGCCGCGGGAGCGAGAGGACCAGGAAGCUGACCCCUUCUCGAGACUCCCGCACGGAGCGAGCCGGCCGCGGGUGGCCGGAGGCGACUCAGCAUGACCUUUGACCUCAAGGACGCACCUUGUGCGGGACGGAGUUCGUGGACCGUGACAUCUAGAUGCAAUGCGUGCUAGGACAAGCAGCAACCCAUAAUGUUCCAAUGUGCUACCAGCCUGGGUCCCUGAGUAAAGAUGACGUGGAGCACAGCCAACUAAGGACGUGUGCUGGCAGUGAGAGAUGAACCUUUGCUCUUGUGGUCCAUGGAGACUUGUGGUUGUUUGUUACUGCAACGUAAUUAGCAUAUCCUGAUUGAUACAACGCAUAUCCAGAUAUCUGCCAAAACAAGACUUUUGGGUGCAUUCUUCACUUACCAUCACUACAGUGUCAUCUCUCAGUAGGGGCUCUAAAAAGGACCGUGACUCUAGGGACAGGAAGCUCAAAGAAUCAACUUUUGCUCCUAAGAAGGAAACUAGCUAAAGAAAUCAGGGUGAUGGAGAAAUUGGAACCCUUGUAAACUGUUGUUGGGAAUGCAGAAUGGUGCAGUCACUAUGGAAAACAGUAUGGAAAUUCCUCAGAAAAUUAAAAAUAGAACUACCAUAUGAUCCAGCAACCCCACUUCUGGGUAUUUAUCCAAAAGAGUUGAAAUCAGGAUCUCAAAGAGAUAGCCGCACUUCCACCGUCAUAGCAGCAUUAUUCACAAUAGCCCAGACAUGGAAGCAACCUCAAUGUCCACUGAUGGAUGAACGGAUCAAAAAAAUGUGGUAUAUACGUACAAUGGAAUAUUAUUCAGCCUUUAAAAAAGGAAAUCCACUAUGCAACGAGAUGGAUGAACCUUGAGGACAUUACGCUAAGUGAAAGAAGCCAUUCACAGAAGGACAUAUACUGCAGGAUUCCACCUAUAUGAAGUUUCUAAAAUAGUCAAACUCAUAGGAGAGACUAGAAUAGUGGUUGCCAGGG